AGCAGUCGCCGCGGGAAUACGGGGGGGGCAAGUGUUAUUCGGAAUGACUGGGCGUAAAGCGUGCGUAGGCGGCUUCUUAAGUCGGAUGUGAAAUCCCUGAGCUUAACUUAGGAAUUGCAUUCGAUACUGGGAAGCUAGAGUAUGGGAGAGGAUGGUAGAAUUCCAGGUGUAGCGGUGAAAUGCGUAGAGAUCUGGAGGAAUACCGAUGGCGAAGGCAGCCAUCUGGCCUAAUACUGACGCUGAGGUACGAAAGCAUGGGGAGCAAACAGGAUUAGAUACCCGAGUAGUCCCUGUCUCUUAUAC
This 303-nucleotide ribosomal RNA is filed under the name uncultured bacterium. RNAcentral's name for it is "partial 16S ribosomal RNA". It matches the Rfam family "Bacterial small subunit ribosomal RNA", at positions 507 to 807 of the family's 1533-position model. The record is from RNAcentral.